RNAcentral lists this ribosomal RNA (2883 nucleotides) under Clostridioides difficile BJ08. RNAcentral describes it as "bacterial LSU rRNA". It matches the Rfam family "Bacterial large subunit ribosomal RNA". Lineage: Bacteria; Bacillati; Bacillota; Clostridia; Peptostreptococcales; Peptostreptococcaceae. The record is from RNAcentral.
AGGGUGCAGGGCGGAUGCCUUGGCACUAGGAGCCGAUGAAGGACGUGAUAAGCUGCGAUAAGCUUCGGGGAGUUGCACGUAAACUUUGAUCCGAAGAUUUCCGAAUGAGGAAACUCACUUAGAGUAAUGUCUAAGUAUCAUUAAGUGAAUACAUAGCUUAAUGAGGGGAACUCAGGGAACUGAAACAUCUAAGUACCUGAAGGAAGAGAAAGAAAUUCGAUUCCGUAAGUAGCGGCGAGCGAACGCGGAUUAGCCCAAACCAAUAAAGUUUUCUUUAUUGGGGUUGCGGACAUAUCAUAACGAAGAGGUAUCGUAAUUGAAGAGGUUUGGAAAGACCCACCACAGAAGGUAAUAGUCCUGUAUGUUAAACGAGAAGACUUCAGAUAUGAUCCAGAGUACCACGGGACACGUGAAACCCUGUGGGAAGCAGGAGGGACCACCCUCCAAGGCUAAAUACUACCUAGUGACCGAUAGCGUAUAGUACCGUGAGGGAAAGGUGAAAAGAACCCCGGGAGGGGAGUGAAAUAGAACCUGAAACCCUGCACUUACAAGCUGUGGAAGCACAUUUCUUGUGUGACCGCGUACUUUUUGUAGAACGGGCCAACGAGUUACGUUAAGUAGCAAGGUUAAGCACUUAAGGUGCGGAGCCGUAGCGAAAGCGAGUUUUAACUGAGCGUUCAGUUACUUGACGUAGACCCGAAACCGGGCGACCUACCCAUGAGCAGGAUGAAGCGAAAGUAAAAUUUCGUGGAGGUCCGAACCCACGAGCGUUGAAAAGCUCGGGGAUGACUUGUGGGUAGCGGUGAAAUUCCAAUCGAGCCCGGAGAUAGCUGGUUCUCCCCGAAAUAGCUUUAGGGCUAGCCUCAAGGUGAGAGAUACGGAGGUAGAGCACUGAAUGUCCUAGGGGGUAUUGCACCUACCGAAGACUAUCAAACUCCGAAUGCCGUCAUCUUAUACUUGGGAGUCAGACUGUGGGUGAUAAGAUUCAUAGUCGAAAGGGCAACAGCCCAGAUCGUCAGCUAAGGUCCCUAAAUGUAAGUUAAGUGGUAAAGGAUGUGGGAUUGCACAGACAACCAGGAUGUUGGCUUAGAAGCAGCCACUCAUUCAAAGAGUGCGUAAUAGCUCACUGGUCGAGUGAUCCUGCGCCGAAGAUUUCCGGGGCUAAAACUUACUACCGAAGCUACGGCAUCAGUAAUGAUGGGUAGGGGAGCUUCCCAUACGGGUUGAAGCAUGACCGUAAGGACAUGUGGACAGUAUGGGAGUGAGAAUGUUGGCAUGAGUAGCGAGAUGUGGGUGAGAAUCCCACAGGCCGUAAACCCAAGGUUUCCAGGGGAAGGUUCGUCCGCCCUGGGUUAGUCGGGACCUAAGCUGAGGCCGAAAGGCGUAGGUGAUGGACAACAGGUUGAUAUUCCUGUACUACCGAUAACCGUUUGAGAGAAGGGAUGACACAGUAGGAUAAGCUAAGCACACUGUUGGUUAUGUGUGCCCAAGCAUUGAGGCAGUCAAAGCAGGCAAAUCCGCUUUGAUAAUGCUGGGAUGUGAUGGGGAGCGAAAUUUAGUAGCGAAGUAGCUGAUUUCACACUGUCAAGAAAAGUCUCUAUCGAGGUUAAAGGUACCCGUACCGCAAACCGACACAGGUGGGUGAGGAGAGUAUCCUAAGGCCAGCGAGAGAACUGUUGUUAAGGAACUCGGCAAAAUGACCCCGUAACUUAGGGAUAAGGGGUGCCACCAUCCGGUGGCCGCAGAGAAUAGGCCCAAGCGACUGUUUACCAAAAACAUAGGUUUCUGCUAAGUCGCAAGACGAUGUAUAGGAGCUGACGCCUGCCCGGUGCUGGAAGGUUAAGGGGAUCUGUUAGAGCAAUCGAAGCAGUGAACUUAAGCCCCAGUAAACGGCGGCCGUAACUAUAACGGUCCUAAGGUAGCGAAAUUCCUUGUCGGGUAAGUUCCGACCCGCACGAAAGGCGUAACGAUUUGGGCACUGUCUCAACAACAGACUCGGUGAAAUUGUAAUUCCGGUGAAGAUGCCGGAUACCUGCGACAGGACGGAAAGACCCCAUGGAGCUUUACUGUAGCUUGACAUUGGGUCUUGGUACUACAUGUACAGGAUAGGUGGGAGGCUUUGAAACCAGGACGCCAGUUUUGGCGGAGCCAUCCUUGGGAUACCACCCUUGUAGUACUGGGACUCUAACCAUAGGCCAUGAAUCUGGUCUUGGGACACUGUCAGGUGGGCAGUUUGACUGGGGCGGUCGCCUCCCAAAAGGUAACGGAGGCGCUCAAAGGUUCUCUCAGUACGGUCGGAAAUCGUACGUAGAGUGUAAAGGCAAAAGAGAGCUUGAUUGCAAGACAUACAGGUCGAGCAAGGAUGAAAAUCGGACUUAGUGAUCCGGUGGUUCUGCGUGGAAGGGCCAUCGCUCAACGGAUAAAAGCUACCCUGGGGAUAACAGGCUUAUCUCCCCCAAGAGUCCACAUCGACGGGGAGGUUUGGCACCUCGAUGUCGGCUCAUCACAUCCUGGGGCUGUAGUAGGUCCCAAGGGUUGGGCUGUUCGCCCAUUAAAGUGGUACGCGAGCUGGGUUCAGAACGUCGUGAGACAGUUCGGUCCCUAUCCGUCGCAGGCGUAGGAAAUUUGAGAAGACCUGUCCUUAGUACGAGAGGACCGGGAUGGACGUACCUCUGGUGUACCAGUUGUUCUGCCAAGGGCAUGGCUGGGUAGCUAUGUACGGAAUGGAUAAGCGCUGAAAGCAUCUAAGCGCGAAGCCAACUUCAAGAUAAGAUUUCCCACCGCAAGGGUAAGACCCCAGAAAGACUAUCUGGUUGAUAGGUCGAAGGUGUAAGUGCAGCAAUGUAUUUAGCUUAUCGAUACUAAUAGGUCGAGGACUUGACC